AAUAGAUACCCGGUAGUCCACGCCGUAAACGAUGGAGUGCUAAGUGUUAGAGGGUUUCCGCCCUUUAGUGCUGCAGCAAACGCAUUAAGCACUCCGCCUGGGGAGUACGGCCGCAAGGCUGAAACUCAAAGGAAUUGACGGGGGCCCGCACAAGCGGUGGAGCAUGUGGUUUAAUUCGAAGCAACGCGAAGAACCUUACCAGGUCUUGACAUCCUCUGACACUCCUAGAGAUAGGACUUUCCCCUUCGGGGGACAGAGUGACAGGUGGUGCAUGGUUGUCGUCAGCUCGUGUCGUGAGAUGUUGGGUUAAGUCCCGCAACGAGCGCAACCCUUGAUCUUAGUUGCCAGCAUUCAGUUGGGCACUCUAAGGUGACUGCCGGUGACAAACCGGAGGAAGGUGGGGAUGACGUCAAAUCAUCAUGCCCCUUAUGACCUGGGCUACACACGUGCUACAAUGGAUGGUACAAAGGGCUGCAAGACCGCGAGGUUUAGCCAAUCCCAUAAAACCAUUCUCAGUUCGGAUUGCAGG
RNAcentral lists this ribosomal RNA (529 nucleotides) under uncultured bacterium. Its description in RNAcentral is "bacterial SSU rRNA". It matches the Rfam family "Bacterial small subunit ribosomal RNA", at positions 777 to 1304 of the family's 1533-position model. The record is from RNAcentral.